AGAUAUAAAUGUAUGUUAUGUUAUUGCUUACCGUAUCUUAAACUCAACAAUCAGAGGAGCUUCCCGAACUCCGCGUUCCCACCCGAAGGUUGUGUUAUGGGUUUGGGGAGUCUGAUAAGGAAGUGAUAAUAAACCAGACGGAAGGAAUAUGUCAACUUGUCCUCAGUUACACUUCUCCUUUGUUGUUGUGUUAUGGGUUUGGGGAGUCUGAUAAGGAAGUGAUAAUAAACCAGACGGAAGGAA
This is a long non-coding RNA of Pseudoliparis swirei, 243 nucleotides long. RefSeq lists it as uncharacterized. Lineage: Eukaryota; Metazoa; Chordata; Actinopteri; Perciformes; Liparidae. The record is from RefSeq and is a predicted model, not a curated record. The transcript is spliced from 2 exons.